UACGAAGGGUGCAAACGUUGCUCGGAAUUAUUGGGCGUAAAGCGCACGUAGGCGGCUACGAAAGUCGGAUGUGAAAUCCCUCGGCUCAACCAAGGAAGUGCACCCGAAACUGCGUAGCUUGAGUACCAAAGAGGAUCGCGGAAUUCCCGGUGUAGAGGUGAAAUUCGUAGAUAUCGGGAGGAACACCAGUGGCGAAGGCGGCUCACUGGCCCGGUACUGACGCUGAGGUGCGAAAGCGUGGGGAGCAAACAGG
RNAcentral lists this ribosomal RNA (253 nucleotides) under uncultured bacterium. RNAcentral describes it as "partial 16S ribosomal RNA". It matches the Rfam family "Bacterial small subunit ribosomal RNA", at positions 524 to 776 of the family's 1533-position model. The record is from RNAcentral.